AAAUGAAUUGACGGGGGCCCGCACAAGCGGUGGAGUAUGUGGUUUAAUUCGACGCAACGCGAAGAACCUUACCAGCUCUUGACAUGUCCAUUAUGGGUCUGAGAGAUCAGAUCCUUCGGUUCGGCCGGGUGGAACACAGGUGCUGCAUGGCUGUCGUCAGCUCGUGUCGUGAGAUGUUGGGUUAAGUCCCGCAACGAGCGCAACCCUCAUCUUCAGUUGCUACCAGGUUAUGCUGGGCACUCUGGAGAAACUGCCGGUGAUAAGCCGGAGGAAGGCGGGGAUGACGUCAAGUCCUCAUGGCCCUUACGGGCUGGGCUACACACGUACUACAAUGGUGGUGACAGUGGGCAGCGAAGGCGCGAGCCGGAGCCAAUCCCCAAAAACCAUCUCAGUUCGGAUUGCACUCUGCAACUCGAGUGCAUGAAGUUGGAAUCGCUAGUAAUCGCGGAUCAGCACGCCGCGGUGAAUACGUUCCCGGGCCUUGUACACACCGCCCGU
This 498-nucleotide ribosomal RNA is filed under the name uncultured bacterium. Its description in RNAcentral is "bacterial SSU rRNA". It matches the Rfam family "Bacterial small subunit ribosomal RNA", at positions 903 to 1397 of the family's 1533-position model. The record is from RNAcentral.